AGAGUUUGAUCCUGGCUCAGGACGAACGCUGGCGGCGCGCUUAACACAUGCAAGUCGAACGGGGACAUAGCAAUAUGGCCCAGUGGCAAACGGGUGAGUAACACGCAGACAACCAACCUCCGGGAUGGGGACAACAUUGCGAAAGCAGUGCUAAUACCGAAUGGACUUAUCGGGGCGCAUGUCUUGGUAAGGAAAGGCCUUUGGGUCGCCUGGAGACGGGUCUGCGGCUGAUUAGCCGGUUGGCGGGGUAACGGCCCACCAAAGCAACGAUCAGUAGCCGGUCUGAGAGGAUGAACGGCCACAUUGGGACUGAGACACGGCCCAGACUCCUACGGGAGGCAGCAGUGGGGGAUCUUCCGCAAUGGGCGAGAGCCUGACGGAGCAACGCCGCGUGAGUGAAGAAGGCCUUCGGGUCGUAAAGCUCUGUUGCAGGGGAAUAUAAUGAAGGUACUCUGCGAGGAAGCCACGACCAACUACGUGCCAGCAGUCGCGGUAAUACGUAGGUGGCGAGCGUUGUCCGGAAUUGAUUGGGCGUAAAGGGAGCGUAGGCGGGCUUGCAAGUCUCACUUAAAAGUGCGGGGCUCAGCCGCGUAAGGGGUGGGAAAACUGCAGGUCUUGAGAGCAGGAGAGGUAAGCGGAGUUCCCCGUGUAGCGGUGAAAUGCGUAGAUAUCGGGAAGAAACACCGGUGGCGAAGGCGGCUUACUGGACUGCCCACUGACGCUGAGGCUCGAAAAGCCGGGGGAGCGAACGGGAUUAGAUACCCUGGUAGUCCACGCUGUAAACGAUGAAUACUAGGUGUGGGAGGACUGACCCCUUCCGUGCCGCAGUUAACACAAUAAGUAUUCCACCCUGGGGAGUACGACCGCAAGGUUGAAACUCAAAGGAAUUGACGGGGGCCCGCACAAGCAGUGGAUUAUGUGGUUUAAUCCGAAGCAACGCGAAGAACCUUACCAGGGCUUGACAUCCAACUAACGAAGUAGAGAUACAUUAGGUGCCCUUCGGGGAAAGUUGAGACAGGUGGUGCAUGGUUGUCGUCAGCUCGUGUCGUGAGAUGUUGGGUUAAGUCCCGCAACGAGCGCAACCCCUAUUGUUAGUUGCUACGCAAGAGCACUCUAGCGAGACUGCCGUUGACAAAACGGAGGAAGGUGGGGACGACGUCAAAUCAUCAUGCCCCUUAUGUCCUGGGCUACACACGUAAUACAAUGGCGCAAAACAAAGGGAAGCAAAACCGCGAGGUGGAGCAAAUCCCCAAAAGGCGUCUCAGUUCGGAUUGCAGGCUGCAACUCGCCUGUAUGAAGUCGGAAUUGCUAGUAAUCGCGGAUCAGCAUGCCGCGGUGAAUACGUUCCCGGGCCUUGCACUCACCGCCCGUCA
Molecule: ribosomal RNA, 1373 nt
Filed under: uncultured bacterium
Lineage: Bacteria
Description: 16S ribosomal RNA
Rfam family: Bacterial small subunit ribosomal RNA
Source: RNAcentral